UACGUAGGGUGCAAGCGUUGUCCGGAAUUAUUGGGCGUAAAGGGCGCGCAGGCGGCUACGCACGUCCGUUGUGAAAUCGCUCGGCUCAACUGGGCGGGGUCAGCGGAUACGGCGUGGCUGGAGCAAGCUAGGGGGCAAUGGAAUUCCCGGUGUAGUGGUGGAAUGCGUAGAUAUCGGGAGGAACACCAGUGGCGAAGGCGGUUGCCUGGAGCUUUGCUGACGCUGAGGCGCGAAAGCGUGGGGAGCGAUCCGG
RNAcentral lists this ribosomal RNA (253 nucleotides) under uncultured bacterium. RNAcentral's name for it is "partial 16S ribosomal RNA". It matches the Rfam family "Bacterial small subunit ribosomal RNA", at positions 524 to 776 of the family's 1533-position model. The record is from RNAcentral.